UACGGAGGGUGCGAGCGUUGUCCGGAAUCAUUGGGCGUAAAGGGCUCGUAGGCGGUUUGUCGCGUCGGGAGUGAAAACCUCGGGCUUAACUCGGGGCUUGCUUUCGAUACGGGCAGACUAGAGGUAUGCAGGGGAGAACGGAAUUCCUGGUGUAGCGGUGAAAUGCGCAGAUAUCAGGAGGAACACCGGUGGCGAAGGCGGUUCUCUGGGCAUGAUCUGACGCUGAGGAGCGAAAGUGUGGGGAGCGAACAGG
Molecule: ribosomal RNA, 253 nt
Filed under: uncultured bacterium
Lineage: Bacteria
Description: partial 16S ribosomal RNA
Rfam family: Bacterial small subunit ribosomal RNA
Source: RNAcentral